CCCUUAGAUGUUCUGGGCCGCACGCGCGCUACACUGAUGCAUUCAACGAGUCUAAAACCUGGUCUGAUAGGGCUGGGUAAUCUUUUGAAAGUGCAUCGUGAUUGGGAUAGAUGAUUGCAAUUCUUCAUCUCCAACGAGGAAUGCCUAGUAAACGCAAGUCAUCAGCUUGCAUUGAUUACGUCCCUGCCCUUUGUACACACCGCCCGUCGCUCCUACCGAUUGAAUGAUCCGAUGAAUACCAUGGAUUGAGAGUACGAAUGGGUUCGCUCAUUUCUGCUGCUCGAGAAGUGGAGUAAAUCUUAUCAUUUAGAGGAAGGAGAAGUCGUAACA
RNAcentral lists this ribosomal RNA (330 nucleotides) under uncultured eukaryote. RNAcentral's name for it is "partial 18S ribosomal RNA". It matches the Rfam family "Eukaryotic small subunit ribosomal RNA", at positions 1470 to 1796 of the family's 1831-position model. The record is from RNAcentral.